This 427-nucleotide ribosomal RNA is filed under the name uncultured bacterium. RNAcentral describes it as "partial 16S ribosomal RNA". It matches the Rfam family "Bacterial small subunit ribosomal RNA", at positions 355 to 774 of the family's 1533-position model. The record is from RNAcentral.
UGGGGAAUAUUGCACAAUGGGCGCAAGCCUGAUGCAGCCAUGCCGCGUGUAUGAAGAAGGCCUUCGGGUUGUAAAGUACUUUCAGCGAGGAGGAAGGCGUUGUGGUUAAUAACCGCAACGAUUGACGUUACUCGCAGAAGAAGCACCGGCUAACUCCGUGCCAGCAGCCGCGGUAAUACGGAGGGUGCAAGCGUUAAUCGGAAUUACUGGGCGUAAAGCGCACGCAGGCGGUCUGUCAAGUCGGAUGUGAAAUCCCCGGGCUCAACCUGGGAACUGCAUCCGAAACUGGCAAGCUAGAGUCUUGUAGAGGGGGGUAGAAUUCCAGGUGUAGCGGUGAAAUGCGUAGAGAUCUGGAGGAAUACCGGUGGCGAAGGCGGCCCCCUGGACAAAGACUGACGCUCAGGUGCGAAAGCGUGGGGAGCAAACA